GACGAACGCUGGCGGCGUGCUUAACACAUGCAAGUCGUACGGUAAGGCCCUUUCGGGGGUACUCGAGUGGUGAACGGGGGCGUAACACGUGAGUAACCUGCCCACAACUUUGGGAUAACGCUAGGUAACUGGAGCUAAUACUGGAUAUGUGCCCCUGCUGCAUGGUGGGGGUUGGAAAGCUCCGGCGGUUGUGGAUGGACUCGCGGCCUAUCAGCUUGUUGGUGGGGUAGUGGGCUACCAAGGCGGCGACGGGUAGCCGGCCUGUGGGGGUGACCGGCCACAUAGAGUCUUAGGUACGGCCCCGACUCCGACGGGAGGCAGCAGUGGGGAAUCUUGCACGAUGGGCGCCAGCCUGAUGCAGCAGCGCCGCGUGCGGGAUGACGGCCUUCGGGUUGUAAACCGCUUGCAGCAGGGACGAAGCUUUUUGUGACGGUACCUGCAGAAGAAGCACCGGCUAACUACGUG
RNAcentral lists this ribosomal RNA (465 nucleotides) under uncultured bacterium. Its description in RNAcentral is "partial 16S ribosomal RNA". It matches the Rfam family "Bacterial small subunit ribosomal RNA", at positions 28 to 507 of the family's 1533-position model. The record is from RNAcentral.